This 442-nucleotide long non-coding RNA is filed under the name Homo sapiens (human). RNAcentral describes it as "HSALNT0116344". Lineage: Eukaryota; Metazoa; Chordata; Mammalia; Primates; Hominidae. The record is from RNAcentral.
UGCGGGCCUGCUUUGGGAACAGAGGGACCCUCCCUGCUGUUCUGUUCACACGGAAGCGUGUCUCAGCGUCUGGGGGCUUGGAGAAAGAAGCCCUGAGGGGCGGUCCUGAGAAGAAUGCAGCAGUGGCAGAGCAAGCCUCGGCUUACCAGGAAGUUACUUCCUAAGACGGGAGCGAAUCCUGCAAGUGAGCCCUGAGAACAAGCACAAAGUCUGCUGGCAGAGAAGGGUCCGCCCGAGGCUCUGGCCCCAGGGAACCCCUCGGUUCUUCUCCAACAUUUUGCUGAGGGAAGGCUGCUCUUGUGUUGAACCUACCGAGGGAGAGUUCCUAGGUUUGCAUGGCAAGAAAUGUGAAGAUAUUUUUAAGACAAAUUCACCCCUGCACACCACCGGCUUUCGAGUCACAGACCCUAGUAAGAGCUCAAGAGUGACUUCAUUUGUAAUA